This 159-nucleotide ribosomal RNA is filed under the name Smallanthus oaxacanus. RNAcentral's name for it is "5.8S ribosomal RNA". It matches the Rfam family "5.8S ribosomal RNA". From Rfam's summary of the family: 5.8S ribosomal RNA (5.8S rRNA) is a component of the large subunit of the eukaryotic ribosome. The record is from RNAcentral. Lineage: Eukaryota; Viridiplantae; Streptophyta; Magnoliopsida; Asterales; Asteraceae.
CGACUCUCGGCAACGGAUAUCUCGGCUCACGCAUCGAUGAAGAACGUAGCAAAAUGCGAUACUUGGUGUGAAUUGCAGAAUCCCGUGAAUCAUCGAGUYUUUGAACGCAAGUUGCGCCYGAAGCCAUUCGGUUGAGGGCACGUCUGCCUGGGCGUCACG